This 443-nucleotide ribosomal RNA is filed under the name uncultured Pleomorphomonas sp. RNAcentral's name for it is "bacterial SSU rRNA". It matches the Rfam family "Bacterial small subunit ribosomal RNA", at positions 336 to 796 of the family's 1533-position model. The record is from RNAcentral. Lineage: Bacteria; Pseudomonadati; Pseudomonadota; Alphaproteobacteria; Hyphomicrobiales; Pleomorphomonadaceae.
UUCCUACGGGCGGCUGCAGUGGGGAAUAUUGGACAAUGGGGGCAACCCUGAUCCAGCCAUGCCGCGUGAGUGAUGAAGGCCUUAGGGUUGUAAAGCUCUUUCGCUAGGGAAGAUAAUGACGGUACCUAGAGAAGAAGCCCCGGCUAACUUCGUGCCAGCAGCCGCGGUAAUACGAAGGGGGCUAGCGUUGUUCGGAAUUACUGGGCGUAAAGCGCACGUAGGCGGACAUUUAAGUCAGGGGUGAAAUCCCAGGGCUCAACCCUGGAACGGCCUUUGAUACUGGGUGUCUUGAGUACGAGAGAGGUGAGUGGAAUUCCGAGUGUAGAGGUGAAAUUCGUAGAUAUUCGGAAGAACACCAGUGGCGAAGGCGGCUCACUGGCUCGUAACUGACGCUGAGGUGCGAAAGCGUGGGGAGCAAACAGGAUUAGAUACCCGAGUAGUCC